AGGGGGGGGGGGGGGGGGUUAGAGGCAGUGACAGCGGUUCAAACUGAGACAACUCUCAGGAGUGCUUAUCACACAACCAUUACAAAAAAAAUAGAUCAAACAUCUCAAGUUAGGUGUAACAAUAAAAAAUGAGUAUAUCAAUGUAUAAAAAAUUUUUUUUUUGGUUUCUAAUUUUGUAUUAAACACUUUUCAUUUCUUAUGUUCUUUCAAAUAAAUUUUUAACAUCUGAAGCUAAAUCGGAGAAAUGGUGGCUGAAUGGUAAGGUCCUUGGCUUCCAAACUGAGAGGUCCCAGGUUUGAAUCUUGGUGAAGACUGGGAUUUAAAAUUCAGUCUUUUUAGAAAGCUCUAAGUAAAAUGGGUUACUGCUGAGUUGGGUAAAGAAAGGGUGGCUGGCCACAUGAAACCCUUGUUAAGCCUCAUAGAUCAAAAGGUCUGAAAUGGAUACUUUUAAAAAAAAUAUGUAAGCUAAAUUUACUUGUACACUUCUAUUAUACAAUAACUACAUGCUUCAUUUGUUACUUUUUAAGUUGAAUCUAUUUGUACACUUCUAUUAUUGUCAAUUAGGUUUAAAACUGGUAUGUACAUGUCUAUUUAUAUUAAAUCAAUUCCUCUAACAAUUGUUCUUGUCUAGUCUUGCACAUAGAAUUUCUUUUCAAUUGAAUAAAAUAUUACAAA
Molecule: non-coding RNA, 675 nt
Organism: Biomphalaria pfeifferi
Lineage: Eukaryota; Metazoa; Mollusca; Gastropoda; Planorbidae
Source: the annotation of a GenBank genome assembly